AACGAACGCUGGCGGCAUGCCUAACACAUGCAAGUCGAACGAGACCUUCGGGUCUAGUGGCGCACGGGUGCGUAACGCGUGGGAACCUGCCCUUAGGUUCGGAAUAACUCCCCGAAAGGGGUGCUAAUACCGGAUAAUGUCUUCGGACCAACGAUUUAUCGCCUUUGGUUGGGCCCGCGUUGGAUUAGCUAGUUGGUAGGGUAAAAGCCUAUCAAGGUGACGAUCCAUAGCUGGUCUGAGAGUGUGAACAGCCACACUGGGACUGAGACACGGCCCAGACGCCUACGGAAGGCAGCAGUGGUGAAUAUUGGACAAUGGGCGAAAGGCUGAUCCAGCAAUGCCGCGUGAGUGAUGAAGGCCUUAGGGUUGUAAAGCUCUUUUACCCGGGAUGAUAAUGACCGUACCGGGAGAAUAAGCACCGGCUAACUCCGUG
RNAcentral lists this ribosomal RNA (433 nucleotides) under uncultured bacterium. Its description in RNAcentral is "partial 16S ribosomal RNA". It matches the Rfam family "Bacterial small subunit ribosomal RNA", at positions 29 to 507 of the family's 1533-position model. The record is from RNAcentral.